RNAcentral lists this long non-coding RNA (595 nucleotides) under Elaeis guineensis (African oil palm). Its description in RNAcentral is "long non-coding RNA (EGUI_LNC031728)". Lineage: Eukaryota; Viridiplantae; Streptophyta; Magnoliopsida; Arecales; Arecaceae. The record is from RNAcentral.
CUCUUAGUGAAGAUAGAUUCAACAUGAUUAGAAGAGAAUUAGGUAUUUGUGAUCCUUUUGUUUAAAUUCUCUCAAAAUUCAUAGAUCCAUCAAGCCCUUUGAUCUUUUUCAUUCAAUUCUUAUCCACACUAAUCCUCUUAAAUUCUUAUCUCUGAACCCCCUUGAAAAAUUAGAUUUUCAUUCUGCUUGGGCUUGAGUCGACUCAAGGUUUAGUCUGAGUCGACUCAUGCUUGAGUCGACUCAAGGGUUUAUUGAGUCGACUUAGGGUCAGAAAUGCUAUUUUUAAAUCGAGUCUUCUUCUUCCUUAUUCACUUCGACUCUUCCACUGUUUGACCUAGAACCACCUCCUUAGCAUUCAAAGGACCCCAUCCGACCUCUCCACCUAUCAUUUUCUCUAACUUCUUUGGAUCUUUCCAUCAUGGUGUGCAAUGGGGCCAAGGACAAAGUGAUUGGCUGUCAAGCGGAGGCUGCAUCAAAUCGAGCAUGAAUCUUUAAGAGAGAGUGACUCUGAUUUUGAAGGAGGUAAUGCUGCUUCUCAUUCUCCCAUUCCUCGCUUUCCUUCUCUUCUUGAUCGACAAGUCACAACUGAUCGAAA